Strongylocentrotus purpuratus (purple sea urchin) is the source of this 1002-nucleotide long non-coding RNA. RefSeq lists it as uncharacterized. The transcript is spliced from 4 exons. The record is from RefSeq and is a predicted model, not a curated record. Lineage: Eukaryota; Metazoa; Echinodermata; Echinoidea; Camarodonta; Strongylocentrotidae.
UUAUCGCGGGGAGUACAAAAGUGGAACUGAAAAUUGGCCACCGACUCCUUUUUUAGAAGUUUCCAUUGAUUGAUAAAAAGUAUCUUAGCAGCUUUAGAUCGCAGAUUCAGAAGAAUUGAUGGAGAAAACGUCUUUGAGCAAUCAUAAUUGAACUUAGACGGAUUGCAAAGAACGUUAAAAAAUGAUACUUGAGAGAGCGCUGCGCUUGUCUUGUUUAGGAGUAGGCCGUGGCGUGGGCCGGGAGAUCUCCGUGCCAGCGGGGACUCUGCCCGCUAGCUGAGCUGAGCCGAGCUGCGAAGACUGCUGGCCGAUGCCGAUGCACAUGCAGCCCAUCACACCAUGUCCAUUCGAAGGAGUUCCUUACAGUGUUAUCUUGAAGAAAGAAGCUGUGAUGACCAAGGGAACACACAACGUCAAAGAAGAGCCUGAUGCAUCAACACAUGAUGGACCUGCUAGACUGACAAUCCCUACGAACAAGCCUGACCUGGGGUCAUCAUGGAAAGGAGGAACCCCCAGACUGGAAGAUUUUGGAUUGAGCAGUGGCUUUUCGGAACCUGGAACAAGGAGCCUUCUUGUACUGCUACACUAACAACCCCUACCAGCAAGCCUGACCUGGGGUCAUCUUGGAAAGAGGGAACCACCAGACUGGAAGAUUUUGAAUUGAGCAGUGGCCUCUUCGCACAGAUGUGAAGGAACAAGCACUGAGCCACAAAGAGCCUCAUGAGAUGACAAGGAAGCCUCAACUAAAAGCCGUGGCCUCACUAAACUCAACCAUGCCGACCAAGAACCCAGAUAUUUUUUGCCAGUAGCUGGAGAUCCCAAAGGUGUCACUUCAUAUUGAAAGGGGUACCGCACGAUCGCUAUCAAGUUUAGAAUGACCAUUCAAGAAAAGUUUCCAUCAAAAUAUGGACCCUUUUUGCAUAAAAACAUAUCCAUUUUUUGUAUUUUUAAAUACAAAUUAGUAUAUACUUUUCAUAGAAUUUGCUUUAUAAAGUGAUAUUU